Molecule: non-coding RNA, 83 nt
Organism: Termitomyces sp. 'cryptogamus'
Lineage: Eukaryota; Fungi; Basidiomycota; Agaricomycetes; Agaricales; Lyophyllaceae
Source: the annotation of a GenBank genome assembly
GGGCACAUGGUGUAGUUGGUUAUCACGCCCGCUUAGCACUUGGUGUCUGCGGGCGGUGCCCGGUUCAAUUCCGGGUGUGUCCA